RNAcentral lists this ribosomal RNA (253 nucleotides) under uncultured bacterium. Its description in RNAcentral is "partial 16S ribosomal RNA". It matches the Rfam family "Bacterial small subunit ribosomal RNA", at positions 524 to 776 of the family's 1533-position model. The record is from RNAcentral.
UACGGAGGGGACGAGCGUUGUCCGAAGUUACUGGGCGUAAAGCGCGCGUAGGUGGACCCUUAAGUCCGCUGUGAAAGCCCGGGGCUCAACCCCGGAGUGUCGGUGGAGACUGGGGGCCUUGAAGGUGCUAGGGAGAGAUGGAAUUACCGGUGUAGCGGUGAAAUGCGUAGAGAUCGGCAGGAACACCCAGGGGGAAACCAGUGGACUGGCACGGUGCUGACGCUCAGGUGCGAAAGCGUGGGGAGCGAACCGG